Molecule: ribosomal RNA, 1075 nt
Filed under: uncultured organism
Description: bacterial SSU rRNA
Rfam family: Bacterial small subunit ribosomal RNA
Source: RNAcentral
UGGAAACGGGGGCUAAUACCCAAUGUGCUCGGUGAUUCGGUUCAUCGAGUAAAGCUCCGGCGCUUCGGGAGAGGCCUGCGGCCCAUCAGCUAGUUGGUAGGGUAACGGCCUACCAAGGCAGAGACGGGUAGGGGGCGUGAGAGCGCGGACCCCCACACUGGCACUGAGAUACGGGCCAGACUCCUACGGGAGGCAGCAGUAAGGGAUAUUGCGCAAUGGACGAAAGUCAGACGCAGCGACGCCGCGUGGGCGAUGAAGGCCUUCGGGUUGUAAAGCCCUUUUAUGGGGGAAGAGAAAAAGGACGGUACCCCAGGAAUAAGUCCCGGCUAACUACGUGCCAGCAGCCGCGGUAAAACGUAGGGGACAAGCGUUAUCCGGAUUCACUGGGCGUAAAGAGCGUUGAGGCGGUUCCGUAAGUUGGGCGUGAAAGCUCCGGGCUUAACUCGGAGAUGUCGUUCAAUACUGCGGGGCUUGAGGACAGCAGAGGAAGGUGGAAUUCCCGGUGUAGUGGUGAAAUGCGUAGAUAUCGGGAGGAACACCCGUGGCGAAGGCGGCCUUCUGGGCUGUUCCUGACGCUGAAGGCGAAAGCUAGGGGAGCGAACGGGGUUAGAUACCCCGGUAGUCCUAGCUGUAAACGAUGGAUGCUGGGUGUGGGGGGUGUAAAUUCCCUCUGUGCCGAAGCAAACGCGUUAAGCAUCCCGCCUGGGGACUACGGCCGCAAGGCUAAAACUCAAACGAAUUGACGGGGGCCCGCACAAGCAGCGGAGCGUGUGGUUUAAUUCGAUGCUACACGAAGAACCUUACCUGGGUUUGACAUGCACGUGGUAGGGAACCGAAAGGGGACCGACCUUCGGGAGCGUGCACAGGUGCUGCAUGGCUGUCGUCAGCUCGUGCCGUGAGGUGUCGGGUUAAGUCCCGUAACGAGCGCAACCCUUGCCCUUAGUUACAAGUGUCUAAGGGGACUGCCCGGGACAACUGGGAGGCCGGUGGGGAUGACGUCAAGUCAGCAUGGCCUUUAUAUCCAGGGCUACACACACGCUACAAUGGCCGGUACAAUAGGUUGCGAAGUCGUGAG